This 193-nucleotide ribosomal RNA is filed under the name uncultured bacterium. Its description in RNAcentral is "partial 16S ribosomal RNA". It matches the Rfam family "Bacterial small subunit ribosomal RNA", at positions 338 to 524 of the family's 1533-position model. The record is from RNAcentral.
CCUACGGGAGGCAGCAGUGGGGAAUAUUGGACAAUGGGCGAAAGCCUGAUCCAGCCAUGCCGCGUGAGUGAUGAAGGUCUUCGGAUCGUAAAGCUCUGUGGGAAGGGACGAAAAAGCGUGACCUAAUACGUCUCGCCUUGACGGUACCUUCUUAGCAAGCACCGGCUAACUCCGUGCCAGCAGCCGCGGUAAU